This 325-nucleotide ribosomal RNA is filed under the name uncultured eukaryote. RNAcentral's name for it is "partial 18S ribosomal RNA". It matches the Rfam family "Eukaryotic small subunit ribosomal RNA", at positions 1470 to 1796 of the family's 1831-position model. The record is from RNAcentral.
CCCUUAGAUGUUCUGGGCUGCACGCGCGCUACACUGAAGCGUUCAACGAGUAUUCACCUUGCCCGGGAGGGUUGGGUAAUCUUUUGAAAACGCUUCGUGAUGGGGAUAGAUUAUUGCAAUUAUUAAUCUUCAACGAGGAAUUCCUAGUAAGCGCGAGUCAUCAGCUCGUGCUGAUUACGUCCCUGCCCUUUGUACACACCGCCCGUCGCCUCUACCGAUUGAGUGAUCCGGUGAAUAAUUCGGACUGCAGCACUGCUUGGUCUCCAGGCUUUGCAGCGGAAAGUUUAGUGAACCUUAUCACUUAGAGGAAGGAGAAGUCGUAACA